RNAcentral lists this transfer RNA (70 nucleotides) under Alligator mississippiensis (American alligator). It matches the Rfam family "tRNA". Rfam says of the family: Transfer RNA (tRNA) molecules are approximately 80 nucleotides in length. Their secondary structure includes four short double-helical elements and three loops (D, anti-codon, and T loops). The record is from Rfam by way of RNAcentral. Lineage: Eukaryota; Metazoa; Chordata; Crocodylia; Alligatoridae.
GAUUCCAAUGUGUAAGUUAGCACCCUGGACUUUGAAUCCAGCAAUCUGAGUUCAAAACUCUGUGGAACCC